CAGGCUUCUCUCUGAUUUAACAAAGCAACGUGUACGAAAUGUUUCGGUGUCUCGCAAAAGUACAGUUAUACAAAAUUCCACUUGGAAAGCAGAAGGCAGUUCGUGUUUAAGGCUAAUAUUACAUGCGUCGUACGACGAGUAUUAUCGGACAUAUUGAUUGUCGGAUAGAAUUCUUCUAAGAUCCCUGAUUUUUCCUUCAGAUACCCCAAAAAUUCUCUAUCCAACAGCCAAUUAGAACGUCCGUCAAGCUUGCCGUACGAUACGUGUAAUAUCGACCUAAGACGCGACGAGUAACAAACUUUAAGAGGCACAAGCGAAUCGACCAAUCACAACUGAGAAUUUCAAAAUUUCGUAAUGCUUGAUUGCGAUUGGCCGCUUGACUUAUUGCUUUAAUUCCCGCUUUCGUGCUCUAUCACUUUUGUGAAAGGCCGAGACGGACUGGCAGGAAUUUGCAUCGCUGAGGAUAUUUUUGACGAUGGAUCGCAAAAUUAAUACUGCACGAUCUCUCAGGUGUUUAGCGUUGCUCUCGGCGGCGUUCCUUCCAAGUGAACACCAACAAACAGCAACAUUAUAUGAAUGUUAUAAUUCCCAAUUAACAGUUACAAUAUAAUUGUCACAUAAUACUCGUAUUAUAUUGCAUUUACGUUGUCGAGGAAAUUGUAGCGUUGAUGUUAUGUUGUUGCUAGUUGGUGUUUACCGAAUUCACUGGCUUGGUGUUCGUGUAAAGAGUGAAAUCACGAAGCAUGAAAGCGUAUUGUAUAGAUACCGGAUCCCGUAGUAUUUUGGAGUGUGAGUACCAUUAACUUUUGAUUAUAAUAUCAUACAUUGAUUAUACAUUGUAUCUGAUUAUAUAUUAUACUUAGAACGUAAUGAAGUGAACGUAAUUAGAACGUAUGUGAAAUGAUGUGCUCGAGUAAACUAUAUAAAAGAUUGAAAGGCAUCUGAAAAAGAUCAGCUUAUUCCAUUUUUAUAGCAUCAUUUAGAGGCGUUCCCAUUGCCUGAUUUAUGACUGUCAAUUUCGCACACGUUCUGGAAUUAUUUCGUCGCCUAGUCUCUAGAUAUGAGUUACGUUACGCCUGGUGCUGAAAUCCGUGUUCUACGUAAAAUAUAUAAUGGCGAUCGUUCUUUUUUAUUCACGAAAAUGCAUAGCAAAGAGAAAUGAGGAACAUACAUGAAAAAUAGACGUUUAUAGUAAAGAGAAUAUACUUUCGCGAUUUAAAUGAAAUAAAAUAUAUAAUAGUGUUCGCUCUUUUAUUUAUGGAAAUGCAUAGUGAAAAAUAACGGAAAGCAAAUAUAUAAGAAACACACACACACACAAAAUAAAAGUUCAAAGUUAAAAGAAAUAUACUUUCAUGAUCUUCUUCAUGGUGGUCUUUUAAAAUAAAUCAGUAAAGACGUUUCUGAUUGAAUCAAUAAAUUCUUAAAGUGUAAUUCUUCAAUCAGUAAAUCUUUCUGAUUGAAUCAGCGAAAGGAAUUUUCACCAAUGAACAGUGAAUACUUAUUGAUUUUCAAUGGAAACAUUCUACUUUACUUCGCCUUAUCUAUCGAUUCGCUUAUAUCUCAUUGACCAGUGGAAGUAAGAUUUCAUUACCAAAUUAUUAGUACAUAAAUACAUUAUUUGCUGUGCCAGACCUAGCUUUCUAUAUUUAUGAUAAUUGAAUUAAUUUCUAUACACAUUGCAUGUA
Molecule: long non-coding RNA, 1685 nt
Organism: Odontomachus brunneus
Lineage: Eukaryota; Metazoa; Arthropoda; Insecta; Hymenoptera; Formicidae
Exons: 3
Source: RefSeq, a predicted model, not a curated record